This 253-nucleotide ribosomal RNA is filed under the name uncultured bacterium. RNAcentral's name for it is "partial 16S ribosomal RNA". It matches the Rfam family "Bacterial small subunit ribosomal RNA", at positions 524 to 776 of the family's 1533-position model. The record is from RNAcentral.
UACAGAGGGUGCAAGCGUUGCUCGGAAUUAUUGGGCGUAAAGGGUAGGUAGGUGGUCUCAUUUGUCCGUGGUGAAAUCCUUGAGCUUAACUCAAGAAGUGCCUCGGAAACGGUGAGACUGGAAUCUUGGAGAGGGUCGUGGAAUUCCCGGUGUAGCGGUGAAAUGCGUAGAGAUCGGGAGGAACACCAGUGGCGAAGGCGACGACCUGGACAAGUAUUGACACUAAACUACGAAAGCGUGGGGAGCAAACAGG